GGGUAUAUAGUUCAGUGGUAGAAUGCAUGCCUAGCCUGCAUGAAAUCCCGGGUUCAAUCCCUGGUACCUCCA
RNAcentral lists this transfer RNA (72 nucleotides) under Camelus bactrianus (Bactrian camel). It matches the Rfam family "tRNA". Rfam says of the family: Transfer RNA (tRNA) molecules are approximately 80 nucleotides in length. Their secondary structure includes four short double-helical elements and three loops (D, anti-codon, and T loops). Lineage: Eukaryota; Metazoa; Chordata; Mammalia; Artiodactyla; Camelidae. The record is from Rfam by way of RNAcentral. RNAcentral also lists the same sequence under 2 other names.